This 112-nucleotide ribosomal RNA is filed under the name uncultured bacterium. RNAcentral's name for it is "partial 16S ribosomal RNA". It matches the Rfam family "Bacterial small subunit ribosomal RNA", at positions 1373 to 1482 of the family's 1533-position model. The record is from RNAcentral.
CCCGGGUCUUGUACACACCGCCCGUCACACCAUGGGAGCGGGAUGUACCAGAAGUAGGUAGGCUAACCGCAAGGGGGCCGCUUACCACGGUGCGUUUCGGUGACGUGGGGUG